CCUGGCGGCAGGCUUACACAUGCAAGUCGAACGGUAGCAGGAGGAAGCUUGCUUUCUUGCUGAUGAGUGGCGGACGGGUGAGUAAUGCUUGGGAAUCUGGCUUAUGGAGGGGGAUAACUACUGGAAACGGUAGCUAAUACCGCGUAAUAUCGAGAGAUUAAAGGGUGGGACUUUCGGGCCACCUGCCAUAAGAUGAGCCCAAGUGGGAUUAGGUAGUUGGUGGGGUAAAGGCCUACCAAGCCUGCGAUCUCUAGCUGGUCUGAGAGGAUGGCCAGCCACACUGGAACUGAGACACGGUCCAGACUCCUACGGGAGGCAGCAGUGGGGAAUAUUGCACAAUGGGGGGAACCCUGAUGCAGCCAUGCCGCGUGAAUGAAGAAGGCCUUCGGGUUGUAAAGUUCUUUCGGUGAUGAGGAAGGUGUUUUGUUUAAUAGACAAAGCAAUUGACGUUAGUCACAGGAGAAGCACCGGCUAACUCCGUGCCAGCAGCCGCGGUAAU
This 499-nucleotide ribosomal RNA is filed under the name uncultured bacterium. Its description in RNAcentral is "bacterial SSU rRNA". It matches the Rfam family "Bacterial small subunit ribosomal RNA", at positions 36 to 524 of the family's 1533-position model. The record is from RNAcentral.